Molecule: non-coding RNA, 4634 nt
Organism: Oryctolagus cuniculus (rabbit)
Lineage: Eukaryota; Metazoa; Chordata; Mammalia; Lagomorpha; Leporidae
Source: RefSeq, a predicted model, not a curated record
GUCUCCUUCUCGCUGCCGUUGAAGGAGCCCUCGCAGAACCAAUUGCAGUUGCCCACGUUGGCGGGGAUGUUGCAGGCCCCGGGCAGGGUGCAGCCGUGGCAGCUGGGGGGCACGCAGGGCCGGGAGGAGCAGCUGGAGCGGCAGCUCAGGCUGGGCAGGCAGCAGUUGUACGGCAUGGCGCUGGGAGGGAGCGAGGUGCCCGGCUGAAGAGCGAGUCCAAGUUCUCCAAGCCACGGAGCUGUGGGUCUCCUUCCUCGGGGCUGCAUUUAUACCCCCGCCGUGGAGGCGUGGACGUGGUAGGCGAUGUCUUUCUUCUUUUUAUUUCUUCACUGGUUUUCAAACGCCCUUCGCCCCAGUCUGUUAUUUGCUUUCCUCACCAGAGUCCCUUCUCCCAUAAAAUUCUUUACUGAGCUUCUUGCUAAGUCAGGGCUCCAGCUCGGGCUGUGUACCCAUGAAUUCACGCUCUGUGGUAGACCUUCAAAGAGGCCAUUAACUGGGAGUUGGUCCAUGCAGUGGCAUUCUUCUGUGUCACGUGAUGCUGCAAGUGCAAAAGUAUCUCAGGUCCUGCCCCCCCCCGCCCCAACAUUUCCAGGGGGAGACACAGAUUGCUUUUGAGGAAGAAGUCGCCUCAAAUGGCAGCAGCAGACUCUCCUGCCCUUUGCUUUAAGAGAAGAGUCUUUAAAUGAUGUAGCACCCCCGUCCCUGGAAGUCUUGAGCUGGAUGAUGAAGGUUGACUUGGGCCAUGGUUGCAAAGGUUGGACACCUGUUAGUGCUUUAAGGGAGUACACAAUGCCCUCUGCAUCAUGUCUGAGAGCUGUAAGGGGAGGGUUUUAGGGGUGGGGGCUUCAAUAAUUAGUUUGACAAAGGGAAAUUUUCUGGAAAAAAAUUUUAAAUGAGGGCUUAAAAAUGCAAGCUGGGAGACCCACAUGCAUGCACUUAAACUGCCCAGGAAAAGUGUCUGGAGGCAGAAGUGAGUGAGACUGGAAUGAGGAAGUGCCGUCCAACUUUUCCACAGAGAAUGGGUACAUUGGGAAAAUUGGGGGGAAGUCCAAUGGGGCCAAUCACCUGAAGUUGAUCCCAAAACUUUAUACCAAUGACCUUAUAGUCCAUAAUAUUUCCGUGUUGGCUUGAACAUAAAAAAAAAUCAUUCUUAAAUUUCCCCUUAAACUUUCAAACCUUUUCCCCAAUUCUGUAAGUGAAUUGAAUAGAGCACCAGGAUGCUCCAUGUUCUGUCUUGGGCUCCCCAGCCCUACUGGCUUACAUACAACCUGCUUUAAAAACCAAAGGGGCCUGCGCCAUGGCUCACUAGGCUAAUCCUCCACCUGCGGCGCCAGCACACCGGGUUCUAGUCCCGGUCGGGGCGCCGGAUUCUGUCCUGGUUGCCCCUCUUCCAGGCCAGCUCUUUGCUGUGGCCCAGGAGUGCAGUGGAGGAUGGCCCAGGUGCUUGGGCCCUGCACCCCAUGGGAGACCAGGAGAAGCACCUGGCUCCUGCCUUUGGAUCAGCGCAGUGCGCCAGCCGCGGCGGCCACUGGGGGGUGAACCAACGGCAAAGGAAGACCUUUCUCUUUGUCUCUCUCUCUCUCUCUCUCACUGUCCACUCUGCACUCUGCCUGUCAAAAAAAAAAAAAAAAGGUAUCAGGGCAAGCACCUGGUGUAGGGGUCGACCCCUCUUGGACCACCCACACCUCAUAUUGGAGUGCCUGGGUCGAGUGCUCCUGAAUCCAGCUUGGCGCUAAUGCACACUCUGGGAGGCAGCAGGUGAUGCCUCAAGUAGUUGGAUCCCUGCCACCCACAUGGGAGACCUGGCCUGGAUUCCCAGCUCCUGGCUUCAGCCUGGCUCAGCCUCUGUUGUUGGAGGCUUUUGGAAAACAAACCAACAAAUGAGAGACAUCUCUCUCUCUCUCUCUCUUUCUCUCUCUCUCUCAUGUGUGUGUGUGUGUCUGCCUUUAAAAUAAAUACGUGCGUUUUUAAAAGCACCAAAGAUAUGAAGGUGCAAGAGGAGGACUCUGUGGUUUUGUACUUGAAUCUAAGGACCUGGGCACCAGGGAAGGAAAAGCAAGGGGUUGUGUGAAGCAGUGCGGAGCCAUUUGGGGCUGCCUAGGCAGGUGAAGGAAGGCACCGGCAGGCCUGGAGAAGGGGCGGCCACAGUUCUGAACACACAGAAGUUGCCUCGGGCUGGUGUGUGGGGCAGCAGGCUAAGCCACUUGCACCUCGAGCAUCUCAGACAGGAGCCCUGGUACAAGACCCUGCGGCUCUGUUUCCGACCCAGCUUCCUGCCAAUGCACCUGGGAAGGCAGUGGAAAAUGACACAAGUAUUUGGACCUCUACCACCCAAGUGGGAGACCACAUGGAGUUCCUGGUUUCUGGCUUUGGCUUGGCCAAAGACCUGGCUGUUGCAGCCAUUUGGGGAAUGAACCAGUGGAUGGAUGAAAGAUCUCACUCACUCGCCCGCUCGCUCUCUGUCUAUCUUCCUCUGCCUUUCAAAUAACUAAAUAAACAAAUCAUCUUUAAAAUGUCCAAUUAAAGGCACCUCCAGAUACCACCUGCCUUGCGGGAGGCGGCACCCCAACCUCCCCCGCGGCUUUGGCUGCCAGCCAGGGCUACAGCUCUGUGGACAAUUAUUGGAGUCCUUCCCCCCAUGGAGCUGUCACGAGUCUUCAUGGCAUGCUUUGCUUGGGUCUCAGAUAAAAGGCCCCUCAGCUAUACUCCCCAAGACCAUUAUCAUGGCUUAUUAUAAUGCCAUUCAGAUGAAAAGCUCCCAGUACUACAAAGAGAUCCCAGAGUGGCAAUAAAAUCCAAUUUUCUUUGUUUUCUUCCAAGACAAUCAAAGGAGGAGGAAGCACAGAGGCUGGCAGGCAGGGACUGGGGUGAGUGGAAAGGCCCGUGAGCACUGGUGCGCACUCACUUGUAGGAAUGCCAGCAGCACUCUCCACGCUCUUCGGUCUACUCCACUGGUCGGCAGGUGCAGGAGCAUGCGUGCUUCCGGCAAAGGAGACUGUUCAGGUUGUGAGUAUGAGAAGAUUCAGGAAUUGGGUCAACAAAAAAGCAAAAAUAGAAUAUUUCUGUACAAAGCAGGGGAUCAGAGAAAUGGAGCAAGCUGCAGACAAGGGGGGCUGUGCUUGAUAAGAGAGAGAAGCAAAUGAAGAAGCAAGAGGGAAACCUGGGCUGAAUCAUCAGAACUGUCCAGGGCCAUGCAAAUCAGACACAGCUAACCCUAUUCAAAUGGGCUAACCUGGAAAAGGAAAGCUGAGAAUCAGCCAAGACAAACGAAGCUGAUGGACGGAACAGUGGCCCUGCAGCCCUGUGUCCUGUGACACACCAGUGGAGAUGACUCAGACACAGGACCGCAGCUUCUGGAGCCUCUGAAGGGAGCGACGUUGCUCCCAGGUGUCCAGAGCCGGAGAUGUGUUGGUGGCUGAGAAAUGCAUCCCCGUCUGCACCCGGGGGAGGAGCGAUUCUACGGACAAGGAGCAUACAAACGAAGGAGGAAAAAAGGACCAGGGACGAGCAGACCUGCUGUAGCUUCAGGUCAUGGCCAGGCGGCAGCCACACUGGAGACGCAGGAGAGGACGGGUGCUAGAGAAGGCUGCUGUCCCCUGCUGGCUGCCCUGCACAAGGCGAAAUGGCACGAGGAUCCGGAGAGGAGACUGCAGGCAGACUGACCUUCACAGCCAUAGCUCACCACUCACAGGCGGCAUCCCCAUCACACCCCCGUGAGAUGCCAGCAGCAGACUCACGGGCAUCGUCCGUGGAUUGGCCAGGGACAGAAGAAGGAUGGGGUUCCCAAGCAGAAGAGCGAAGUCCUUGACAACCCCAGCAAGUGGGAGCCGUGAGAAGCCGGAGGGUCCGCCGUGCCGGGUCUGGGUGCAGACGACCGGCAAGGCGCGCUUCAGCCCUGUGCAGGGUCCAGGUCAGCUGCAGGACAGAAGACUGCCUGGGGACGGGGCAGCUCCCAUGUGCAAACUCCAGGCGAAGACCUGCAGCUCUCACUGGUCCCGGCCCCUGAGCAAGGCUGUGAGCGCCUUUUCCUAAUUGCUCUCCUACCUCCUGGUCCUUCUGCCGGGCCUCCAGGCAUCCUCCUGGAGCUGAGCCCUCCACAGCGGCCUUCGCACAGCCUUCCUCUCUCGGCAAGGCGGUGCCAGAGCCAUGCCUGGACCAGGGCCGCCCUCUGCCACUGUAGCACAAACAGCGCAGAAACAAACAGCGUGGGAUAAGAACCUCAUUCACCGGGACAGGCGGCAGCUGCACCGGACCUGGGAGCUGUGGUUUGCCGCCCCCUGCUUCCCACAGCCCAGGGAGUGCGGCCUCCAAAUUGGAGCACAGGGAAGACUCCAGUCUGCUGCACAGUCAGAGGACAGGGGCGGGAGCAGGACCCCCGGAAUCCACGCCGCCAGCACCCGGCGACCAGGGCUGGACGUGCACCGGAACCUCUGAAGCAAAGGCGCCCGUGGGCUGGCUCUGCUGUGCCGCUGCCGCUGCUGUUUCUCAAACUUGAGCCUCAGCAGAGCUCUAAACAGUGACCCAGCCGCCCUUGUCCUCGGGGAAUGUCAGAGAGGCGGGAUUUGUUGCGAUUUCCUUCCACGGACACUUACAAGCACUGAGAGCCCCGCCCAGGCCUUGGCGGGGGGGGGGGG